AACCAUUCUCACCUGCGGCUAGACCUGCGGAGGGAUCAUUACCGAGUUUACAACUCCCAAACCCCUGUGAACAUACCAAUUGUUGCCUCGGCGGAUCAGCCCGCUCCCGGUAAAACGGGACGGCCCGCCAGAGGACCCCUAAACUCUGUUUCUAUAUGUAACUUCUGAGUAAAACCAUAAAUAAAUCAAAACUUUUAACAACGGAUCU
This 208-nucleotide unclassified non-coding RNA is filed under the name soil metagenome. RNAcentral describes it as "partial contains 5.8S ribosomal RNA, internal transcribed spacer 2, and large subunit ribosomal RNA". The record is from RNAcentral.